This 460-nucleotide ribosomal RNA is filed under the name uncultured bacterium. RNAcentral's name for it is "partial 16S ribosomal RNA". It matches the Rfam family "Bacterial small subunit ribosomal RNA", at positions 338 to 795 of the family's 1533-position model. The record is from RNAcentral.
CCUACGGGAGGCAGCAGUGAGGAAUAUUGGUCAAUGGACGAGAGUCUGAACCAGCCAAGUAGCGUGAAGGAUGACUGCCCUAUGGGUUGUAAACUUCUUUUAUAUGGGAAUAAAACGUUCCACGUGUGGGAUUUUGUAUGUACCAUAUGAAUAAGGAUCGGCUAACUCCGUGCCAGCAGCCGCGGUAAUACGGAGGAUCCGAGCGUUAUCCGGAUUUAUUGGGUUUAAAGGGAGCGUAGGUGGAUUGUUAAGUCAGUUGUGAAAGUUGGGGGCUCAACCGUAAAAUUGCAGUUGAAACUGGCAGUCUUGAGUACAGUAGAGGUGGGCGGAAUUCGUGGUGUAGCGGUGAAAUGCUUAGAUAUCACGAAGAACUCCGAUUGCGAAGGCAGUUCACUGGACUGCAACUGACACUGAGGCUCGAAAGUGUGGGUAUCAAACAGGAUUAGAUACCCUGGUAGUC